UACGGAAGGCAGCAGUGGGGAAUAUUGCACAAUGGGCGCAAGCCUGAUGCAGCCAUGCCGCGUGUAUGAAAAAGGCCUUCGGGUUGUAAAGUACUUUCAGUCGUGAGGAAGGUGUUAAGGUUAAUAACCUUAGCAAUUGACGUUAGCGACAGAAGAAGCACCGGCUAACUCCGUGCCAGCAGCCGCGGUAAUACGGAGGGUGCGAGCGUUAAUCGGAAUUACUGGGCUAAAGGGCACGCAGGCGGUUAAUUAAGUUGGAUGUGAAUCCCCGGGCUUAACCUGGGAAUGGCAUUCAAGACUGGUUAGCUAGAGUCUUGUAGAGGGGGUAGAAUUCCGAUGUGUAGCGGUGAAAUGCGUAGAGAUGUGGAGGAAUACCGGUGGCGAAGGCGGCCCCUGGGACAAAGACUGACGCUCAUGUGCGAAAGCGUGGGGAGCAAACGAGGGAUU
Molecule: ribosomal RNA, 447 nt
Filed under: uncultured bacterium
Lineage: Bacteria
Description: bacterial SSU rRNA
Rfam family: Bacterial small subunit ribosomal RNA
Source: RNAcentral